GAUUAACGCUAGCGGCAGGCAUAAUACAUGCAAGUUGAACGAGAUUAGUUUUAGCAAUAGAACUAGUUUAGUGGCGCACGGGUGCGUAACGCGUAUGCAACCUACCUUAAACAGGGGAAUAGCCUCUCGAAAGAGAGAUUAAUACCGCAUAAUAUAUAUUUAAUGCAUAUUAGAUAUAUUAAACCUACGGGGGUUUAAGAUGGGCAUGCGUGACAUUAGCUAGUUGGUGAGGUAACGGCUCACCAAGGCAACGAUGUCUAGGGGGUCUGAGAGGAUGUCCCCCCACACUGGUACUGAGACACGGACCAGACUCCUACGGGAGGCAGCAGUAGGGAAUAUUGGUCAAUGGGGGCAACCCUGAACCAGCCAUGCCGCGUGCAGGAAUAAGGCCCUAUGGGUCGUAAACUGCUUUUGAACGGGAAGAAAUCUAUUUACAUGUAAUAGUUGACGGUA
This 453-nucleotide ribosomal RNA is filed under the name uncultured bacterium. RNAcentral describes it as "bacterial SSU rRNA". It matches the Rfam family "Bacterial small subunit ribosomal RNA", at positions 28 to 477 of the family's 1533-position model. The record is from RNAcentral.